RNAcentral lists this unclassified non-coding RNA (2692 nucleotides) under Acyrthosiphon pisum (pea aphid). RNAcentral's name for it is "integrator complex subunit 10, transcript variant X5". The record is from RNAcentral. Lineage: Eukaryota; Metazoa; Arthropoda; Insecta; Hemiptera; Aphididae.
GUUUUCUUGAGACCGAUUGCUUUAGAUGUAGAUCAUGGUUACUUACAGCUAAAUCAAUGUUUCCGAAUAAUUUUGGAAUACACUUUGAAUGUUAUGAAAUAGAAAAAAAUUUACGUUGUGUUCAAAGAGCAGCUAGAUGUUUCAGUUGCUUGAAGAUUUUCCAAACGAAGCAAUUCUCUGGAAAGAGAUUGAAAACUUUACACCAAUAUUAUGUAUGGACAUAUCUUGCUUAUCAGAGGAACAAACAUUUUUUAGAGAAAUGUUUUCUGCACUCCCUUUAUCUAUCCAACAGAAAUUAUUAUCAGUAUGUGCUGAAAGAAGUGAAGACACAAUGGAACAUUGUCGUCUAGUACUUUUACUUCUAAAUCGUUUCCCUCAAUCAUCAACUGAAUUAGCAUUAAAGCUCAUGGAUACAAUGAUAACAGCCGAAAAACACAACCAAUGCCCAAAUGUUAUAAACUGUUACAGAAAGAUUUUAGUUUGUGAUCUUGGUCCUUUAUUAGUAUCAACAAGUACAUUAAAUCAGAAAAAUCUCUAUAAAAUGUUAACAAAAACUACUGAAUUUUAUAUUACAUAUGCUAUGGGAGGACAUUCUAUUAUUCAGAACUUGCCUGAUACAGAAAAUUAUAUUAAAACACCUUGGGAAGAUUUAUUUGCUUCAUGUGAACGUAUCGGUAAAAAACUUUCUUGGGAAUUAAGAUCUGUUUUAAGUCAAAGUGAUAAACGAAAAGCUUGGAAAAAGGUAUCAAGUUUUGCAAAAAAGUUUGUAAUUGCUUCCAAUAACAGUGAACUUAGCAAACAAUUAGUGUUUUGUGGGAUGAUAUUGUUUGUCCGACAUGUUUUUGAUUAUAAUAAAUCAUUAAAAAUUGAAAAUGGUUCAGAAUAUUUGUUAGUUAAAGCAAUUAAAGGUCCAAAAGUACAAAUUAAUAAGCCUCCUUUGAAACAAGCUGUACUUUCCAUAGCAACUAAAUUAAAUGAAUCUUUGAUUGGUAUUACCGAUGACUCGUCUGAAGUUCUUGAUCAUUUCAAAAUGGCUUUCAACUAUUGGGAAUUACUUACUAAUAAAGAACCAAUGUGCACUGAUUAUUGGAAAUUAAGUGCUCAAAUUAAAGUAGAUACAUUCAUAGGGCAAUUCCUUAAUGAUAUUGAAUUUUAUCAAGGGAAAUACAAGAAUCUUUUCAAAGCUGUACCAGUUCAUGAAAGUAUUAGAAAAUCAUUAUCAUUAGUGACCUUAUACUAUUGUGUACAAGAAUUCAAGAAAUGUACAGAGCACAUUUUCGAGGUAGUAGAUCAAAUAGAAAGUCUUAGCUUGUAUGGAAGUGUGUCCACAGAAAUAGCUAAUCCACCUGAAGAUAGAGAAAUGUAUUAUAUUCAAAUAGCAAGAUUGCCCGUUUUACAGUAUUGUGUUAAGAUAAUGGUUCAAAUACUCUACAAUCAACUUUCCAAUUAUCCAUCAACUAGUGAUAUUCUUAUUGGUCAUCUUUUAGUAUUGUCACAAAUGGUUUGGCCAGAAGGCAAAGCAAUUGCUGAAGAUAUGUAUAAUCACAUAGGGAAAUUGCCUUUGUUUACAUAUCCUCAAUUUCCAGCUUAUAUUACUAACAUAGAUAUCAUUGAACAUUUUAUGGCUAUGUUUAUGGAAAAUGAUAAAUGUGUCUUAAAUGUAUUUCCAUGUGUAGCUUCUUCAUUAAGUCCACGAAUAUCAACCAGAGGAGCUGGCAAAGGAGUAAAAGAAGAGUUUCGGUCAGCAUUGAAAAAACAAGUAAAACGAUGGUCUGAACCAGUGGAUGAAACUAUGUUAUUAUUUUUUAAGAAUGAAAGAGAAAGUUUAAUGAAGACUGCUACUCUUAUGGAAAAAUCAUUAACUUUUUAAAAGUAUAGCAGUAUUUGAUUCAGCCAAUGUUAAACCAGGAACAUCAGUUGAUCCACAGACACUGAAACAUUAUGAUUAAAUUAAACACAAACAUAGUUAUCAAUGUUAUGAAUGACACCUUACUCUUGGAUAAGUUUCAAAUUUCCAUUCUUGACUCUAAACAGCCUGAUGCUUUGAUUCAUUAAACUGUUGUUUACAUCCGUCAAUCCUUGUUCUAUUGAUAUGGCUAGACUUGAAUUCUCCAUGCUAUUUAACAGUAUUGCACAAAACCCUGCUGGUGUCGAUCCAUUGAUUAAAGGUAUUUCUACAUUAUAAUGUUUGCUUCUAAAAGUGUUCAAAGAAACUAUACAUGAUCCCCGUGACAUUCUUAAUGUAUGAAACCUUUCAGGAUAAGUACCCAAGUAAAAACUUGGCAUCCAUUGACUGUUAUAAUAUGCUAAACAUUCACCAAUUAUAAAGAGCAAACACAUUAAAGCAUAGACCGACAUUGUUGUGAGACUGUAUUAUAAUAACUGUAUUCCAUACAGUGAUAGUUCCGGUCUAAUAUAUCAUGUCCAUAUGUAACAUUUUCAUAGGUGGGGACUUAAUUGGAGCUCUUGGACCAUCAGGAGCCGUAAUAUAGUUUGAUCCAUAAAAAUGGCCAAAAUUUUGAUGUGCUGGUUUACCAUCACUACUAUUGAACUAGGGUUGGAAAGUUUCUGUACCCACUGUUGAUGGCACAAGAAAAAAAACUAUUAGUAACAGCAGCUGUUCUGGAUUCAAUUCUCCUAAGAGUCUCAAUACAUGUAACAUUUAAUUGUAAUAAAUUUUAUUUUUAUAUUA